This is a long non-coding RNA of Brassica napus (rape), 2362 nucleotides long. RefSeq lists it as uncharacterized. The transcript is spliced from 4 exons. Lineage: Eukaryota; Viridiplantae; Streptophyta; Magnoliopsida; Brassicales; Brassicaceae. The record is from RefSeq and is a predicted model, not a curated record.
UUGAUUGAAAUGAAACAGAGUGAAAAGAUCCAAGAGUUGUUUGAUGCCGUGUUCAAAAAAUGGGGCUUGGAAGUAGAGAAAUCUCUUCGGAGCAACAAUUUCAUGUUGAUUUUUGCCGUGUUCGUCUUCUCACGGUUAACUUUCCAGUAAAUGUUGUAUUCAAUCCUUAGUUCUUUUGUUUGACAACUAAGCUUCCACAUACCAUAGACAGACAGGAAGAAGAGGAGCGUUUUGUGAGGGAGCUAUUGAGGCAGAGAGGAAGCACAAAGGAGAAGAAGAACUUAGUUUAUCUUUAAAGAUUAGGUUUCAACACACCGAGCUGCUCUCAAGUGUAAUCAGAAGUUGCUUUCUCCUCUAUCAAUGAUUAUUUGACAAGAGAGCAUCCCCAAUUCUUCAUAUAUCAAUUAUCACGGUACUCAAGUACAUCCACAUUGGUAUUUCAUUUUCUUUUGGUCUCUGACUUUACCUUUUUCAUCAUUCAAUCUCUUUAUGUGUAUAUAAUAUCUGUCUAGAGAUCACUGACUUCCACAGAUUAUAGCGUAUGUCAAAUUGUCUUUUAAACCUUAACUUUUACUCAGCUACUUAGCCCACUGAUGUAGUAUAUUGGCUUCAUGCUGUUUCCUAAUAUCUCACUUAGUUUUGGCCUUUUGAAUUUUGGUCCCAUCGAGAUUUCUGGAGAUUUUAGUAUGUUUAAUAAUUUAUGUACCUCAGUUGUUGCACUUGCAGCUAAUGUCUAUCACAGAGAUCUGAAGCCAAAGAACAAACUGGCAAAUGAAAACUGUAAAAUCAAGAUUUGUGAUUUUGGAUUAGGAAGGGGUUUCAUUCAGUGAUAGCCCCACAGCAAUCUUUUGAACGGUAUGGUGAACAAGAUGUCUCUCUAAGAGUCUUUCUCUUCUCCUAAAUAUACACCCGCCAUUGAUAUAUGGAGUAUAGGCUGCAUCUUUUCCGGAGUAUUAGUGAGAAAUCCACUUUCCCUGGAAAGAAUGUGGUUCACCAGAUGGAUCUUAUGACUGAUCUGCUGGGGAAACCUUCCAUGGACACCAUCUCCCGGGUACUGAUCUUCUUAGACAUAAGGUUUUGAGGUAUCACGAUUUGGGACCUUGGUUCUAUCGUGGUAUUAAUAAUUCUGGGCUUGGUGGUUCUUCCAUGAUGUUGUCCUCGGUCUAUGUGAGGCCAAACUGGUUCCGUCAUCACUGUCUUUUUGAAUCACAAGGCAACUUUCUACUUGAACUCUUUAAGAUGUCAUGGAGUUUAUUAAAGUAAGCUGAGGCUGCUUCAACACAAAAUGGAGAACUUUAACAAGACACAUAUUACGAUUGUAGCAUAGAGGGAAACACAUCAACUUGGCAAUUGAGCAAUUUAAAGCACUAUAAGAAUGACAUGUUCCUACAUCUUAUAGUCAAUUUCAGUAUGUUUUUCAGUGUCCGGACUUAUAGUAUUAUAGGGAGUUUAGCUUGUGCUCACUUACAAAUGAAAAACAUACAUGUUUGGGUUGUUUUCUUCGGGUCUUAAUGAUGUCUCUCAUCACUGUUUUUGAUAUUAAGAUGAUCCUUUUUUAUUUGUUUGUCCCUGAGACAUUUGCAUAUUUGGAAUGAGAGUGUUGGGGGCAGUAAUAGCGAUAGAAACAAACAUGGAGGGAUUACUCGAGCAGAGAUCUAGGUCUUAAGGAUUUUGAGUGGGCCAUACCGUCAUACCCAUCCUUUCUGGUAUCAUAGAGCAGAUCAAAAUGACUCGACAAGUGAUUGCUGAAGCCAAAAAUCCGGUUACCAGUAUGGUGCUUGAGAGAUGCAAGAUGACAUUCCAGGGUCUAAUGCUUACAUUACUGGACUAAUUAUUAUUGGUGGAGUGACUAUGUUUCCUUCUACUCUCUAGGUCACAAAAUAAAAUAUUGGAUCUUCAAGAAGUUUAUGUUGGCGAUGUUUUGACGUCUUUUGGUGCUUUUUUUGUUCGAGGGAAGGUUAACAAGACCUUGAUAAGGACGAUGGUGAUUGCAUUGAAGGAUCUGUAUACAGAGUUUGUUUUGAAUGAUUCAAAUAGAUCAAUCAGCUGUUAUCUGUUUCUUUAAUAGGAGCUUUCAAGUGCUUCUGCCAUGGCCGCUGCUUUGUAUUGGGAGAAGAAUCAGGUAGAUUAGUUGAGAGAGAUAUAUACAGGCUAAAUUGUUAUGGCUUUAAUUUUGUUCUGUUUUUUGGAAUGUAAUGUAUAGUGUGCAGAGUGAGAUGUGGUGUCUAUGUUGUACUGUAUGGUUUUCAAUUCUUUGAGGAAACCCUGUAAAAGUGUUUGGUGUUUAAUUGUUUUCAAAAACGAAAACAUAUUCUAAAAUGUAGAAAGCUGUAUCAAAUUACAAUAAAUCAUGUUUCAGUAU